RNAcentral lists this ribosomal RNA (379 nucleotides) under uncultured euryarchaeote. RNAcentral's name for it is "bacterial SSU rRNA". It matches the Rfam family "Archaeal small subunit ribosomal RNA", at positions 505 to 884 of the family's 1478-position model. The record is from RNAcentral. Lineage: Archaea; Methanobacteriati; Methanobacteriota.
UGGGUCUAAACAUCUGUAGCUUGUUUGUUAAGUCUCUUGUGAAAUUCUAACUCUUAAGGUUAGAGCGUGCAAGAGAUACUGGCAGACUAGAGACUGGGGGAUGCAAGGAGUACAUUCAAGGGAGUGGUAAAAUACGUUGAUCUUGGAUGGACUAACAAUAGCGAAGGCACCUUGCAAUAACAGUUCUGACAGUGAGAGAUGAAGGCUAGGGGCGCGAAAAGGAUUAGAUACCCUUGUAGUCCUAGCAGUAAACACUGCGCACUAAACAUCGGGGUCUCUUCGAGAGACUACGGUGCUGUAGCGAAGGCGAAGAGUGCGCUACCUGGGAAGUAUAGUCGCAAGACCGAAACUUAAAGGAAUUGGCGGGGGAGCACAAGCC